UACGAAGGGGGCUAGCGUUGCUCGGAAUCACUGGGCGUAAAGCGCACGUAGGCGGAUCUUUAAGUCAGGGGUGAAAUCCCGGAGCUCAACUCCGGAACUGCCCUUGAAACUGCAGUGCUAGAAUCUUGGAGAGGCGAGUGGAAUUCCGAGUGUAGAGGUGAAAUUCGUAGAUAUUCGGAAGAACACCAGUGGCGAAGGCGACUCGCUGGACAAGUAUUGACGCUGAGGUGCGAAAGCGUGGGGAGCAAACAGG
RNAcentral lists this ribosomal RNA (253 nucleotides) under uncultured bacterium. Its description in RNAcentral is "partial 16S ribosomal RNA". It matches the Rfam family "Bacterial small subunit ribosomal RNA", at positions 524 to 776 of the family's 1533-position model. The record is from RNAcentral.